Molecule: ribosomal RNA, 301 nt
Filed under: uncultured bacterium
Lineage: Bacteria
Description: partial 16S ribosomal RNA
Rfam family: Bacterial small subunit ribosomal RNA
Source: RNAcentral
CAGUCGCGCGGUAAUACGGAGGGUGCAAGCGUUAAUCGGAAUUACUGGGCGUAAAGCGCACGCAGGCGGUCUGACAAGUCAGAUGUGAAAUCCCCGGGCUUAACCUGGGAACUGCAUUUGAAACUGUCAGGCUGGAGUCUUGUAGAGGGGGGUAGAAUUCCAGGUGUAGCGGUGAAAUGCGUAGAGAUCUGGAGGAAUACCGGUGGCGAAGGCGGCCCCCUGGACAAAGACUGACGCUCAGGUGCGAAAGCGUGGGGAGCAAACAGGAUUAGAUACCCCAGUAGUCCCUGUCUCUUAUACA